This 1948-nucleotide ribosomal RNA is filed under the name Candidatus Giovannonibacteria bacterium RIFCSPHIGHO2_02_FULL_48_15. Its description in RNAcentral is "bacterial LSU rRNA". It matches the Rfam family "Bacterial large subunit ribosomal RNA", at positions 1 to 1833 of the family's 2925-position model. Lineage: Bacteria; Candidatus Giovannoniibacteriota. The record is from RNAcentral.
GAAAAUAAGAGCGUAUGGUGGAUGCCUAGGGUUUCGAAGACGAUGAAGGACGUGGCGUGACUGCGAUAAGCAUCGGGGAGGUGUCGAGCAACCUUUGAUCCGGUGAUUUCCGAAUGGGGUAACCUAAUUCGAGUAAUGUCGAAUUGCUUUCCGAGUAACUUCGGACUGCGUGCACCUGGGGAAGUGAAACAUCUCAGUACCCAGAGGAAAAGAAAACAAUCCCGCGGAAUGCGGGACAUUCCCUAAGUAGCGGCGAGCGAAAGGGGAAAAGCCCAAACCUCGCUUCACUAUUCAGGAAUUUAUUUUUGAUUAGUGGGCGGGGGGUAGUAAGAAAAAGACUUUCCGGAGCGUAUAGCUAUGUUCCUGGAAGGGAGUUUAGAAAUAUAGAAGUUGUUUAGGGGAACGGCCCUGGAAAGGCCGGCCAAAGAGGGUAAUAGCCCCGUACUUAAAAAACCUUUUAUGCUCCUUGUCUUUUUUCUUGAGUACUUCGAGAACAAGAUAAGCUCGGAGGAAACAGGGAGAACUACUCUCCUAAGGCUAAAUACUUCGAAACACCGAUAGUGAACUAGUACCGUGAGGGAAAGGUGAAAAGCAGCCCGGUGAGGGCGGUGAAAUAGUACCUGAAACCAUAUGCUUACAAGGACUCGGAGCCCGUUCACGCGCAAGCGUGUUCAGGGUGACGGGGUGCCUAUUGAAGAAUGAGCCAACGAGUUAUAGUACGCUGCUAGUCUAAUUCCGUUAUAGCGGGAGGAGGCGUAGGGAAACCGAGUCUUAAUAGGGCGUUUGCAGUUUGCUAUAGACCCGAAGCCAGGUGAGCUACCCCUGGCCAGGAUGAAUCCCGCCGAAAGGCGGGAGGAGGUCCGCACCGGUUAGUCGUACAACGCUAUCGGAUGAGUUGGGGGUAGGAGUGAAAAGCUAAUCGAACCUGGGAAUAGCUGGUUCUCUCCGAAAUAGCUUUUGGGCUAGCGUCCGCUACAACUACGCAGGUAGAGCUACUGGAAGGUUCGUAAAGGGAGAAAUCUCGACGUACCUACCAAACUCCGAAUGGCGUAGCUUUGGGCGGCCAGUCAGACUACGGGGGCUAAGCUCCGUCGGUCGAGAGGGCAACAGCCCAGAUCUCAAUCUAAGGCCCCAAAAUCUCUCUUAAGUGUAAGUGAGGCGGUGAGGUUUCAAUGACAGCGAGGAGGUUGGCUUAGAAGCAGCCAUCCUUCAAAGAGUGCGUAACAGCUCACUCGUCAAGAGACCUUGCGCCGCAGAUAAUCGGGACUAAAGAGAGUGCCGAAGGUGAGGCUCCGCUAACAUUUGAAAUAUUAAUGUAAAGCGGGGGGUAGGAGAGCGUUCCUAGUGCAGUGAAGUCCACGGCGUGAGCCGGGAUGGAGCGCUGGGAAGUGAGAAUGUUGGCACAAGUAACCACAAUGCCGGUGAAAAACCGGCACGCCGCAAACCUAAGGUUUCCUUGGCAAUGAUUGUCAGCCAAGGGUUAGUCGGUCCUAAGCCAAUGGCGAAAGCCGCAGGUAAUGGACACACGGUUAAUAUUCCGUGACUUCCUUCUUUUUCGAUGAAGGGACGAAGGUUAGUAUGUUCUGCGUGUUAUUGGAUUCGCGUUUGUGCGAUGAGGAGUGUCCCGUAGAAAAUCUCGGGACGGCCUUUUGGCAACUCUUAGUCGAGCAAAAAUUUUCCGCCUCGGCGGAGGAAAUGGAACAAAGCAGCCUUCCUAGAAAAGCUUCUAAGAUUAUGAAGAGGGAAACCGUACCGAAAACCGACACAGGUGGGUGAGGCGAGUAGCCUCAGGCGAACGAGUGAGAGAUCCUCAAGGAACUCGGCAAAAAAGCGGCCGUAACUUCGGAAUAAGGCCUCCCCGCCAACGUAUAGAAAUAUAUGGCAGGCGGGGCGCAGCGAAAGUACCCCUGGCGACUGUUUAUCAAAAACACAGCUCCCUGCGAACUCG